Molecule: long non-coding RNA, 513 nt
Filed under: Malus domestica (apple)
Lineage: Eukaryota; Viridiplantae; Streptophyta; Magnoliopsida; Rosales; Rosaceae
Description: long non-coding RNA (MDOM_LNC013866)
Source: RNAcentral
AAAAUUCUAAUGUUCAAGAAAUGGGAUUGCGGAGAUCCGUGAGGCUAAAUGCGACAAUAAGGGGAGCGGCAUCAUCAUCACGAGCUUCCACCAUGGGAACCACCGUGGUGGCUACCUCGGUAGCCACCCGCGGCGAGGUCCAUGGUGCCUUCACCACGGCCACCAUGGGAACCACCGCGGUGGCUACUUCGGUAGCCACUCGUGGCGAGGUCCAUGGAGCCUUCACCACGGCCCGGAGAUCCGUGAGGCAAAAUGCGACAAUAAGGGGAGCGACAUCAUCACCACAAGCUUCUACCAUGGGAACCACCGUGGUGGCUACCUCGGUAGCCACCCGCGGCGAGGUCCAUGGUGCCUUCACCACGGCCACCAUGGGAACCACCACGGUGGCUACUUCGGUAGCCACUCGUGGCGAGGUCCAUGGAGCCUUCACCACGGCCCGAGCCGUGCCAUCCAAGGCUCACGGUACCAAGACCACGAUCCAAGCCGUGCCAUCCAAGUUUACGUGGACCCAAG